GAGGAGCGUGUAGAAGGUCCAGUUGUAAGCGAAGUGGGCCACCACGAUGGCCAGAAGUGGCCCAGACGUCAACAUGGCUCGCCAGGGGAUGUCUGCAUGUGAGUUGGACAGCUGGAAGGAAGCAAAAUGGAGUCAUUCUAAAUUUUAAACAGCAGAAAGACAAGUUUUACAAGAACCCAAGUCUCCUCCUGGCCUUUGCUUUACAAGCAAACGUCAUAAAGCCUCAGUCGAGCUUUUCUAUUUCUACGCGGCAUCACCUCGUUCUUCAGCGAGCUGACGAUGUAGAGUCUUUCUCGCUCCGAGAUCCACCGGAGAUGCUGACAAGACGGCUCCUCUCCAGGGGCGGCGCCCACACGGCCCACAUGCUGUACAUGGCAGG
Molecule: non-coding RNA, 379 nt
Organism: Doryrhamphus excisus (bluestripe pipefish)
Lineage: Eukaryota; Metazoa; Chordata; Actinopteri; Syngnathiformes; Syngnathidae
Source: RefSeq, a predicted model, not a curated record